RNAcentral lists this ribosomal RNA (497 nucleotides) under uncultured bacterium. RNAcentral's name for it is "partial 16S ribosomal RNA". It matches the Rfam family "Bacterial small subunit ribosomal RNA", at positions 28 to 507 of the family's 1533-position model. The record is from RNAcentral.
GAUGAAUGCUGGCGGCGUGCCUAAUACAUGCAAGUCGAGCGAACAGAUGAGGAGCUUGCUCCUCUGACGUUAGCGGCGGACGGGUGAGUAACACGUGGAUAACCUACCUAUAAGACUGGGAUAACUUCGGGAAACCGGAGCUAAUACCGGAUAAUAUAUUGAACCGCAUGGUUCAAUAGUGAAAGACGGUUUUGCUGUCACUUAUAGAUGGAUCCGCGCCGCAUUAGCUAGUUGGUAAGGUAACGGCUUACCAAGGCGACGAUGCGUAGCCGACCUGAGAGGGUGAUCGGCCACACUGGAACUGAGACACGGUCCAGACUCCUACGGGAGGCAGCAGUAGGGAAUCUUCCGCAAAGGGCGAAAGCCUGACGGAGCAACGCCGCGUGAGUGAUGAAGGUCUUCGGAUCGUAAAACUCUGUUAUUAGGGAAGAACAAAUGUGUAAGUAACUAUGCACGUCUUGACGGUACCUAAUCAGAAAGCCACGGCUAACUACGUG